GACCUAAUAGCGAAAUAUGGCAUCGCAUCCACUCCCAAUACACAAGCACAUGCACUGUUGACCAUGUGCAAGCCCCUCGUUCGAAUCGAGGUUAGGUCU
Molecule: non-coding RNA, 99 nt
Organism: Mycena rebaudengoi
Lineage: Eukaryota; Fungi; Basidiomycota; Agaricomycetes; Agaricales; Mycenaceae
Source: the annotation of a GenBank genome assembly